Molecule: long non-coding RNA, 199 nt
Filed under: Panax ginseng (ginseng)
Lineage: Eukaryota; Viridiplantae; Streptophyta; Magnoliopsida; Apiales; Araliaceae
Description: long non-coding RNA (PGIN_LNC009639)
Source: RNAcentral
GCAAGUUCUUUUUAACCGUAUAGUAGAUAGUAGUGGAAUGUUUUUUAUACAGCUAAUCGGUAGCGAGACAUACUAAAUGAAAGAUUCUCCAUCAAAUCUUUAUAUAGAAAGUAAAUCUCAGCAGACAGCUGCACAAGUGAACAUUCUACAGUACACAAAUCCGAUUGCCCCCCCUAUAACUAUAUUAGUUAGACUUUCC